The submitters of this non-coding RNA (77 nucleotides) gave its source as unclassified sequences. The record is from Rfam.
GCUAUGGGGAUUGCGAUCUCCCCACGAGGCGACAUGCCCAAGUAUCGCGUCCUGUUCUCACACAAGGGCGCAUCAUG